Molecule: RNA transcript, 3064 nt
Organism: Rhagoletis zephyria (snowberry fruit fly)
Lineage: Eukaryota; Metazoa; Arthropoda; Insecta; Diptera; Tephritidae
Source: RefSeq, a predicted model, not a curated record
AUAAUCUGGCAUCAUUGCAAUCCUCUAUGAACUCAACCGUUUUUUUGUUUUUCCAUUUCUCUUUUGCAGCCAACAACUUUCAGCAAGCAAGAUCUUUUCGUACAUACGUGUAUAUAUAUUUACACGUGUGCGCGCGCGCAAAUCGCUUUCAAAAUAAAAUCUGUGUUAUUUCUUUGCUUUGAGUAGAUAAAACUAUUCCGUAUUUCAAAGAAGCCUUGUAUAGUGUUACAUAUCUAGCAACCGGCAGCAAAAAAAAAACUUACAUUGCCGCUGGUUAGAUCGAAGUGGAUUGGUACGAUAUGCCAUUUUUCCAUCUACCUGAAUUUGUGUUGAGAAGGGACAAUUCAUUCGAAGCAGAAUAGAAAAGUAAUUUCCUUCCUGGUACUAAUACAUACAUAUAUUAUCACUAGGCCAAAAUCCUUAGGCAUUGGACCUAGAAUGUUAUGUUGUAGUGGAGUGAAUGCAGCUCUUAAUAUGCAGGUAGGAUAUGGUAUGUCUAAAGCUGCGUACAUUUGUAUGAGUUCGGAAUGAGAGGCACUAAUGCAGUCACAUUGAAUAUACAUAUAUGAUACAAGAUGAAUUCUUAAAAUACCAACCAACCCUCUGUACAAGGACCAUUUGAGUCAGUACGGUCUAUUAAGUCCUGCAGAGCGCAUUUAACGCAGAAUCUUCUAAAGUGUAAACUUUUAUGUUAUUAAAGUUCCUCUAAAAAUGGAUAAUAAACACAACCGACCUGAUGAUCGGCGGGUAAUAUGUGCAACAAACUACAAUCAAGCUCAACAGAAAAUUAUUCGUGCGUCCGUAGUAAAUUUUUCACGUGCAGUUGAGGCGGGCGAAAUGCAAUAUUACAACGAACGCCCAAUGAUGCUUGACACAUGGACGCAAACCUCAAACGCCGAUCUUGGUAUUGGCGAGGACUACCUGCAUAAUGCAUACAUAGAAGAGCAAAGACAAAGAGAGAAAGCAUUGUUGGAAAAGAUACGCAUCCUUAAGGCAGAACUGCGGGCGCAUUCAGAGAUGUUAACACAAAUGCAAUCCCUACAUGCACGCGGUAGUUUACAACUACAAAACCAACACAAUCGACAACAACAACAGCAAUCGUUAGUGGCUAACUCGCUAGAUAUGCAACUGCAGGACCUUAACAACCGUGAACAAAGACAAAAACAUGAAGAAAGUACAUCGCCAAAAAUGCAGUUAUAUCACAGACCUUCUAGCUCAAGAAGUACACAGCAAUGCGAGGAAGUUACGUCCAUGUCGAACGUACUUCAUGAGCGUCCAGAACAAAAGCAAUUAGCACAAAAUACACACUCACAGUAUAUAGCACAAGAAGUGAAUGAAGGUGCGGAGUCGACGAGGCAACAAAACGCAUCUAUUUCACAUAACGCACCAAGUACUAUCAUUAAUAAUGCACAUGAGGUACGAACUCGCAAUGUAAAUUACACAAUAGUCGCUGAUGGCGAUGGCAAUGGUCCUGAUGAGCCCAUAGAGAUUGAAAUUGCGGAAGAAAGUGCACACAACUUAAAUUGUUCUGCGGAUUCCGAACGCUUAGAGAUAUGUUUAGCAGAAGAACAGCAACCCGAAGCAAGGGCUAGUUAUGUUAAGUACGAGGUGGGUACUGAGCAAAUUCAACACAAAAAUCAUAUUUCUUCUUCAGUAAGUCCAGUCGGUGCAAAACGACUUAAAAUGUCUACAGAAAGUCUCACACAAAUAUAUGAAGUGCGGGAAUUUUCACAAGAGGCUCCACAGUGUUGUGAACAUCAAACCUGCGAUAUGGCCCAUCCGCAGCCUCUUCUAUCAUUUCCAACAAAUCGUAAUAACGCAAGCUUACUAAAAUUACCCAUCGACCCACAACAGAGAGAUGAUGACCAAAGUACUGCGUCCAAGAAUAAAUCGGAACCGAAAGUUGCUUACUGUUCGAUAGGACCGAACAACACUCGUAUACCUACGAAGAUUUUUGAUGCCAUCAGCUGGACUUCUGCAUCAAUAGCAACACGAAAACUAAUGAUGGCCAUCUUUAAUCGCGAAACCUUAGCCACACAUUCUAUGACCGGGAAGCCGUCGCCUGCUUUUAAAGAUCAUAAUAAACCACUUAAGAAAAUGCUUAAUCCAUUAGCCAUACAAGACAUUAUAUUUGCUGUUACACGUAGGUGUCAAGUUUCGGAGAAGGAGGUGCGUAACGCCAUCACCACCAAGUGCGCCGAUGAAAACAAAAUGUGGAAAUUGGCUCUGGCCAAAACCCAAUCAUUAUGUGAACAUGAUAAAGAAAAUGUCGGCUAAGAUAUAAAAAAAAUAUUGAGAAGUCAAAUCAGUAGAAGGGCGCCCAUGAAUUUGGUUGCUUCAAUGCAAUCCACUGUUAUACUCUAAGGGCCACUUUUUCAAUGUCAGUUUAAACUUAGAUUAAGUAAACUGAGUUUAAAUUGAACAGCUGUCUGGACAUUUGAUUGGCUGAUCUUAGUUUAAACCAGUCAGAUCGGGCGUUUGAACUGAGUUUAAACUACGGCCGUGCACUGAAAAACUGGCCCUAAGACGUGACACCAAUAAAAAAUGAUCACAUUGCGAAUUUAAAUUACAUUGGUUUAUCAAAACGCAACGUUGGAAACGUUUAUUAUCUAAAGGAUACAAACAUACCUGACAACCAGGCCUGUGUUUCAGUAAAGUUAUCACAUACAUUACAUAAAAUAAGUUUAAAACCCCUAUAUAUUAGAAUUAAUCUUAAUUUUACAAAUUAAACAUAUGUACAUAACAUUCACAUAAAAAAGUGCGCUCUGAUAUGUACAUAUAUAUGUAUGUUGAGCUUGUACGUAAAAUAUUAUAGCAUAAUGGAAGAGUAUACCAAAAAUGGGUUAAAUUAAACUAUAAAAUAUUUCAAGUACAUGUAUGUAACUAAUUGCAAUUAUAAUCAAAUGGAGUUUGUUUACCAUGAAUAAUUAUACAAUCACAUAUACCUGAGCUACAUGUAUUGUUACAUAUCUAAAUAGGAACUGCAAAGGACGAAUUUCGUAAACCGCAGUGGUUUGAAGAAGCUGAAACAGAUGACGAACUCUUUGAUGACAAUCGCAAAUUC